UGAUUUCGAAGUUCUCUCUCGAUUUUGAUUUCAGGAUUUAUGUCUCGGUGAUUCUCUCUCUCAAUUUCAAAGUCUAUUUUGAAUAUGAGAAUAAUUGUUAAAGCCCUUUGUAAACCCUUAUUUGGAAUCCUCAUGCCUUCAAAUCUCGUCUCUCUCAACCUUCUCUAAACCGUUAUCAUUCUCACAGAUUCAUCUUUGAGAUUCAGAGCGAAUUCGAUUUCGAAGCUCCAUCGCCACCACCGUCUGCACCGGCUCGAUUUCUCAGAUUUUGAUUUCGAAGCUCCACUCCCACCACCAUCUGCACCAGCGAGAAUGGAGUUGAUCCUAUGGAUAGAAACAUGGAAAAGCCAAAAACUUUGGAUGAUGUAACUGAUAAAACCAAACCCUGGCAGUUGGCCGAAAUUAUAGAUCCUGCUCAAUGCCGGCAGGUUACCAUGCCAGACAACAUGGAUGCAGUCAACAAGGUUGCUUGACUACUCUAUACAAAUUCCGGUUUUGGUGUUUUGGCACUUGGGUCUAAUGGGAUUCAGAAGUUAUGGAAGUGGACACGCAGUGAACAAAA
Molecule: non-coding RNA, 562 nt
Organism: Camellia sinensis
Lineage: Eukaryota; Viridiplantae; Streptophyta; Magnoliopsida; Ericales; Theaceae
Source: RefSeq, a predicted model, not a curated record